CCUACGGGAGGCAGCAGUGGGGAAUAUUGCACAAUGGGCGCAAGCCUGAUGCAGCGACGCCGCGUGAGGGAUGACGGCCUUCGGGUUGUAAACCUCUUUCAGUAGGGAAGAAGCGAAAGUGACGGUACCUGCAGAAGAAGCGCCGGCUAACUACGUGCCAGCAGCCGCGGUAAUACGUAGGGCGCAAGCGUUAUCCGGAAUUAUUGGGCGUAAAGAGCUCGUAGGCGGUUUGUCGCGUCUGCCGUGAAAGUCCGGGGCUCAACUCCGGAUCUGCGGUGGGUACGGGCAGACUAGAGUGAUGUAGGGGAGACUGGAAUUCCUGGUGUAGCGGUGAAAUGCGCAGAUAUCAGGAGGAACACCGAUGGCGAAGGCAGGUCUCUGGGCAUUAACUGACGCUGAGGAGCGAAAGCAUGGGGAGCGAACAGGAUUAGAUACCCUGGUAGUCCAUGCCGUAAACGUUGGGCACUAGGUGUGGGGGUACAUUCCACGUUUUCCGCGCCGUAGCUAACGCAUUAAGUGCCCCGCCUGGGGAGUACGGCCGCAAGGCUAAAACUCAAAGGAAUUGACGG
RNAcentral lists this ribosomal RNA (569 nucleotides) under uncultured bacterium. RNAcentral describes it as "bacterial SSU rRNA". It matches the Rfam family "Bacterial small subunit ribosomal RNA", at positions 338 to 916 of the family's 1533-position model. The record is from RNAcentral.